AGCAGCCGCGGUAAUUCCAGCUCCAAUAGCGUAUAUUAAAGUUGUUGCAGUUAAAAAGCUCGUAGUUGAAUUUCGGGAUUGACACAUCGGUCGUGCCUUAAGGGGUGUGAACUGGUGUAGUCAAUUUCUCACCUUCUGGAGAACCGCGAUGUCCUUAAUUGGGUGCCGCGAGGAACCAGGACCUUUACUUUGAAAAAUUAGAGUGUUUAAAGCAGGCAUUUUUGCUUGAAUACAUUAGCAUGGAAUAAUAAAAUAGGACGGCAUGAUUCUAUUUUGUUGGUUUCUAGGAUCACCGUAAUGAUUAAUAGGGAUAGUUGGGGGCAUUAGUAUUCAAUUGUCAGAGGUGAAAUUCUUGGAUUUAUUGAAGACUAACUACUGCGAAAGCAUUUGCCAAGGAUGUUUUCAUUAAUCAAGAACGAAAGUUAGGGGAUCGAAGACGAUCAGAUACCG
Molecule: ribosomal RNA, 450 nt
Filed under: uncultured Entrophospora
Lineage: Eukaryota; Fungi; Glomeromycota; Glomeromycetes; Entrophosporales; Entrophosporaceae
Description: SSU rRNA
Rfam family: Eukaryotic small subunit ribosomal RNA
Source: RNAcentral